RNAcentral lists this ribosomal RNA (1278 nucleotides) under Triticum aestivum (bread wheat). Its description in RNAcentral is "partial small subunit ribosomal RNA". The record is from RNAcentral. Lineage: Eukaryota; Viridiplantae; Streptophyta; Magnoliopsida; Poales; Poaceae.
AUGGAUGUGAAUUUUGUUGGUAGGAAUAAUUUUGGAAACAAUGCUUAUAGAGGAAAUUUUAAUACUAGACCGUUCCCUAGUAAUCCGUCUAGUAAUUAUGGAAAUUCCUACAAUAAUUCUUAUAGUAAUUUUAAUAAGAUGCCCUCUGAUUUUGAGAAUAGUGUGAAAGAAUUUAUGAUUUCUCAAAAGAAUUUUAAUGCCUUGCUUGAAGAAAAAUUGCUCAAAGUUGAUGAUUUGGCUAGGAACGUUGAUAGACUUUCUCUUGAUGUUAAUUCUCUUAAACUUGGAUCUUCUUCUCCUAAGCAUGAUAUCAAUGAGUCUCUCAAAGUAAUGAGAAUCUCCAUUGACGAGUGCAAGGAAAGAACCGCUAGAUUGCGUGCUAAAAAAGAAAGCUUCAUAAAAGCGUGUUCUUCUAGUCUACAUGAAAAUAAUGAUGAGGAUCUUAAAGUUAUUGAUGCGUCUCCGAUUAGAUCUAUGUUUUGCAAGAUGAAUUUUGAUGAUUAUGGGAGUGAUGAUGAAUCAACUUUGCCUAGAAGGCGUCCCAAAAAUUCGGAAUCUUUAGAUCAUGAUGUUAAAUUUGGUAAAAGAGAGAUUGGAGAAUCUUCAACUUCUAAUAUUGAACCUACUAUCUCGGAUUUCAAGGAAUUUGAUUAUGAGAAUUGCUCUUUAAAAGGUUGUAUUUCCUUGUUGCAAUCCGUUGUUAAUUCUCCUCAUGCUUAUAGUCAAAAUAAAGCUUUUACCAAACAUAUCGUUGAUGCCUUGUUGCAAUCUUAUGAUGAAAAACUGAAUUUGGAAGUUUCUAUACCUAGAAAACUUAAUGAUGAGUGGGAACCUACUAUAAAGAUUAGAAUUAAAUAUUAUGAAUGUUUUGCUUUGUGUGAUUUGGGUGCUAGUGUUUGCACGAUUCCGAAAACUUUAUGUGAUAUUCUAGGUUUCCAUGAUCUUGAUGAUUGCUCUUUAAAUUUGCACCUUGCGGAUUCCAUCAUUAAAAAGCCUAUGGGAAGGAUCAAUGAUGUUCUUAUUGUUGCUAAUAGAAAUUUGGUGCCCGUAGAUUUUAUCGUUCUUGAUAUAGAUUGCAAUCUUUCUUGCCCUAUUAUUCUUGGUAGACCUUUCCUUAGAACGAUUGGUGCGACUAUUGAUAUGAAGGAAGGGAAUAUUAGAUUCCAAUUUACUUUAAAGAAAGACAUGGAGCACUUUCCAAGAAAGAAAGUCAAAUUACCUUAUGAAUCUAUCAUGCGUGCUACUUAUGAAUCAAGUGCCAAAGAUGGCACUAGUUAG